This 253-nucleotide ribosomal RNA is filed under the name uncultured bacterium. RNAcentral describes it as "partial 16S ribosomal RNA". It matches the Rfam family "Bacterial small subunit ribosomal RNA", at positions 524 to 776 of the family's 1533-position model. The record is from RNAcentral.
UACGAAGGGUGCAAACGUUGUUCGGAAUUACUGGGCGUAAAGCGAGUGUAGGCGGUCUGAAAAGUCAGGUGUGAACGCCCUGGGCUCAACCCAGGAAGUGCACUUGAAACUGCCAGGCUAGAGUAUCGGAGAGGUUGGUGGAAUUCUCGGUGUAGAGGUGAAAUUCGUAGAUAUCGAGAGGAACACCGGUGGCGAAGGCGGCCAACUGGACGAAUACUGACGCUGAGGUGCGAAAGCGUGGGGAGCAAACAGG